This 305-nucleotide ribosomal RNA is filed under the name uncultured bacterium. RNAcentral describes it as "bacterial SSU rRNA". It matches the Rfam family "Bacterial small subunit ribosomal RNA", at positions 335 to 639 of the family's 1533-position model. The record is from RNAcentral.
UCCCUACGGGAGGCAGCAGUGAGGAAUAUUGGUCAAUGGCCGGAAGGCUGAACCAGCCAAGUCGCGUGAGGGACGACUGCCCUAUGGGUUGUAAACCUCUUUUAUAAGGGAAGAAUAAAUGCUACGUGUAGCAUGAUGCCUGUACCUUAUGAAUAAGCAUCGGCUAACUCCGUGCCAGCAGCCGCGGUAAUACGGAGGAUGCGAGCGUUAUCCGGAUUUAUUGGGUUUAAAGGGUGCGCAGGCGGAAGAUCAAGUCAGCGGUAAAAUUGAGAGGCUCAACCUCUUCGAGCCGUUGAAACUGGUUU